RNAcentral lists this long non-coding RNA (1969 nucleotides) under Macaca fascicularis (crab-eating macaque). RNAcentral describes it as "lncRNA (ENSMFAG00000055091.1)". Lineage: Eukaryota; Metazoa; Chordata; Mammalia; Primates; Cercopithecidae. The record is from RNAcentral.
AAGAAAGUGAGUCUUUCAAAUUAUCUUAGGUUGUAUUUAAAAUUGUUUGAAUAAUCUUCACUAUUUCAUAUAAAACAUACAUAUCUCAAAUACGAGAUUUUACAUUUAUUUUUGAUUAGAAACAAGUAAUAGGCACACAUGUUUAGGUCUGGCUUAUAAACAAGUGACAGGCACAUGUGGGGUUUUAAUGGGAGAUUCAGUAGCACUGAAAUAAAUAGAAAAGACAUUUUUAAUUUCUACUGCAGAAUAAAAAUGUAAUGCUAUAAUUAUAAACUGUAAUCUUUUUUACAAUUCAAAAAUCUGAGGUUGAAGGUCUCUGUAUCAUCAAGGGGGAAGAAAUGAAAGUAAAAUCUUAGAUUAUUCUGGCACUGAGUGAAAACAGCCAGAACUUUGUGGAUUCCAGAAAUUUUUAGUUUACAUGUCAUGUAAACAACUAUUUUUUUAAUUAUAAAUAAAAAUAUAUGAUGAUUCUUACUAAAUUUUAGUCUGAUGUCAUAAGAAUGGAGAUAUAACCAAAUAUUUAAUUUUAUUAAUGGUUAGAAAUAUUACAAAUAAAACAUUACUUAAUUCUACUUUCAACCAUGACAGAGUCACUAAAAUCACCUUAAGCCUACUGCCAUAAAUAACUACAUUCAGUGACUAUAUAUAUAGGAAACAAACUGAGAACACAGGACAAGAAACAUGUGAAGUAUGUCCUGUGAUAUCACCCAAGCUUUCUGCCAGGAGGAUUUUUCAGAUCGUGGUGAAAAAAAGGUGUGAAGGGUAGAGAGAGGGAUAAUUAGUGACAAUAGGCUUUCUGGGUCGAGGAGACAGAGAAAAGUGUUUGGGAAAAUUGAGACACCUGGAAUAUCUUGGGCAAAGUGCUGGAGAAAAGGGAGCACUGUGGAAAAGAAUCCAAAAUCUGCAUAGGAGUCUCCCUGAGAGUGUUACUGAAUAUUAAGCCAUGCAUAUAUAUGGAAAAACUUCAGAAGGCCAGCCGAAGAACAACUAUGGGAGCUAUAAAUGUGAGUUCAACAAUUAUCAGAAUGCACAAAGGACUGGAGACAUAUUGGUUCUGAUAAGUCUUUUUUAAACAACCAAAGAAUUAAGGAGAGGCAUUAGAAGAGUAAUAUUUUAAUAGUAGGGUAAAAGUAGGUCAUUUUGGAAAAGUUUUAAAAUAUGCCUCAAAAAGAAACAAGCUAAUCUACAAGUAACUUUAGUUGCUUGUCAGAUUAAAGCCUAACGCUCUUUAAAGACAACUAAACUGAACAAUGACAUCAACAUAAAUUUAUAAGGCCCAGUAUCCAAUUAAAGCUUAACAGACAUGGAAGAAUCUAAAUUUGUCAUGAGUAGAAAGGUUAGUAGAAAAAGAUACUUAGAAAUGACAGAGCAGGUGGAGAUACUAUAAGCAAGCCUAAAAUUAAAAGAAAAGCAUGAAAAUAAUGAAGAGAGAAAUGCAAAGUAUAUAAAAGAACAAAUUGAACUUGUGUGGAUGAAAAAUACAAUUAUCAGAAGUGAAGAAUUCUGUGGAUGGGGUUAAUAGCUGAUUUAACACAAUUCAAAAAAGAUCAGUGAAAAUACAGCAAUAGCAAAUAUCCAAAGUGAAGAACAGAGAAAGAUAAAUGGUGGGAACUGACAAGAACUUCAUAAACAGCUUAAAAAUAUCAAGAUGUUAAACAUACAUGAAUUGGAGUUCAAAAAGAGAGAAAAAUAAAUACUUGAAAAAUAUUCCACAUUCUAUGAAACAAACUUACUGAUUCAAAACCUGUUAAAAAAACCUUACUGGGUAAAUCUAAAGACAAUCAUACCAAAGUAUUUCCUAAUGAAAUUGUUGAAAACCAGUGAAUGAAAGAAAAUUUUGAAAGUAGCCAGAGGAGAAAAGACCUAUUUUGUACAUAGGAGCAAAGAUUACCACAGUUUUUGCAUCAAAAAUUAAGUCAGAAAUCAAUUAAAUUCUAUUUUGAAAGACCUGAUAGAAAAAAAAAAAAAA